GUGAGGACAGAGAUAAGAUGUUUUCCACCCUUUUACUCUGAGAUGACUUUUGACUUGCUUUGGGAAAUAGCCUGCUGUGCAUGGGAUAGGUUCUAAACCCAAGCGUAGGCCUUAUAAGAACUUGCACACUUACACUGACCCUUUUGGAGCCUGGCCACCCCCAAGAAAACAAGCCUACACUAGGAAGAUGGAAGACUAUGUUCAUUAGAGACAACUCAUUUCAGCUGAGUUUAACUUCAACUGGCAGCUUUCAGCCUACAAAACACAGAUCAGUGGUUCUCAAGUGAGGCUAUUUGUGGUUCUCCCAGCAGUCAAAACAGACUGAGGAUUGCUACUAGCAUCAACUGGGACACUAAGUUCUAAAAUCUGAAGGAGGUCUCAGUUGUGGCCCCAGUUACAACGGUGGAAAAAAGGAGCUGUGCUUCAUUCCAGUAAACUUCUCAGAAAGAGAGGCCCCAGAAAACCAUGCAAGAGCUUAGAAAAGUGCAUGUAUAGUUGUAAUGGGUAAACUGCCUCAGCCAUUAAGGUGCUCUGCUCAGAUCUCUUUCACAGGCUUUCACAGGGAGCAUAGCUGACUUUCAUCCUCCAGCUGUCACUCCACUGGUUCUAUCACAUUCAGACCAAAGCAUGUUUCUCUUGGGCUCCACAGCCCUGCUCCUUCAAGGCUGCCCCAGCCAAAGAUUAAGCCUGAUAUGGAGUACUAGAUCCAUUUGAUUUCUCUCCACUUCAGGACUGACCAAUGGGCAGCUCAUUGGCCAGGUCAAAUUUUUCUCAGAACUGGGAUGUAGACUGAUACACUUCCUACCCAGUCCUUUUUUUAACACUUGUUAAACUUGCAUCAUGAUCUGAAGGCUCUCGAUUCCUACUCCUGCUCCCAUGGUUGGCUACCUGCUUUCAUCUUGGAGUGAGCAAAGACACUUUCAUUUAGUUUUUGGAUACGUUGUACAAGAGAUUUUGUAUUCCCUAUUUAGUUGGUCUAAUGGGGAUUUGGAAAGACCGCCGCUGUCACCAUAUUCCCCAAACUCCAACCAUUAAACGUUUCCAGGUAAAGAUCUAAUAUUUUUUAUCAGAUAUAUUAUCCAUAUAAUAUCCAUGUUCCAAACAAAUACUGAGGUAUAUAACUUCUUACUUCUUCAGUAAUUUUAGAACACAUAUUGGAAAUGUGGAUUCUAGAAAGUUACUUCUAAGCACAACUAUAAGCAAAGAACAGAGAAACUGAGUUCAGGAAAGUUGAUAGUAUAAUUGCAACAAUAUCAAUAAUUUUACCAUAUUUAAUGGGCUGAAUUUAUAUUUAAAGCAAUUUUUAGACAGUUUCCACUGAGCUGACAAUAAAAUUAUAAAUAAGAGUAGAGGAGUCAUAAUAUAUUUAUCUUUUAUUCUAGGAAUAAAAGCUUACUGUAGUGUUAAUCUAUGAGUUAUUAGUUGUUAACAUUAUCACCUCCACAAGUAAGGGAACUUUUCUUGUAUCCAGCAAACUGACAAUUCUUAAAGUGAGGAUAUGUACUAAGAAUUUAGUACAAAGACUAUCAGUAUCCACGAGCAACUGAAAUGUGACAUCCUUUAUUUUAGCAAGUUAUACUUAAGAUAUUCAUUUGGUAUGUAUAUUUUGUAGACAGAAAGAGAAUAGUUAUAUUCAAUUGGAAAUUCUAUACCAUGGCACACAAUUCUGACAUAAAAGGAAAUGGCAUUGUAAAAAUUGAAGUCAUUUUGACUGAGAGAAGUAAAACAGAGGAAAUUUCUAAGUAACAGAAAGCAGUUAAAGCUGCCCUUAGAGAACUAUAACUUACUGACACUUAAAAGAGAGAUAAUAAUUUGUGUAGACACUGAAUUUGGCAGAGCUAUGGGGAUAAUAUAUCUUUUUCAGUAUCAAAUAUUAUUUCAUUUUUGAUGCUAAGUCUUUCCUGCAAUAUUAACUUUUUAUACUAUUUUUUUUCCUCAAUGACCUUGACCAACAUGUGGGAAAUAAUCGGCCCCAUCUUUUUAGGUCUUGAAGGGUUUGGUAAUUUAUCUUAAAGAGAUGUCAUUGUAGCAAAUGUCCUCAUUGUUGCUUGAAAGCUGUAUCCUCCUUAAAAAAACAAAAACAAAAGUGAAUGGUACAUUAGGCAGAUGUGAAAUCAUCCAAAACUAUGAACUAUUUUAGUAUGCAGAAUAUUUUAGAUUGCAACAAAAUAAGCUAGUUUCUGUUUACAUCCAGUGGGAUUUUGUGAGAUGAAAUUUUUGUGAGAUCCAAUUCAUCGUGGUUUAUGAGGCAAAGGCAGAGUAGCCUGAGACCUAAUCUUGAUUUCUCCACAUUUAACACAUUUAUUUUUAGAAUUACAUGUAAAUGUUAUCCCCCAAAUUUCAAGCUGUUAAACACAUUUGUCAUGUGGCCUGUCACUAAUUACAUUCGUAUUUGAUUACCAAAUUGCUCAUAUCAUAGUCUUUAGAUAAUGUGUGUGUGUUUUUUUUGUUUGCAGUAGCUUUUGGGAAUCCUUGCUUUCUCCAGUAUACUAGGUGCACUGUUGACCGCUUAAUUUUGAAAUGAAACACAUGAAGAUACCACUGUUUUGUCUUGUUUGUAUGGUUUCAGAUGAAAAGAUUGCUGUAAUUCUUAAUACUUGUCCUUCUGUAAAUAGUAUUUUGUUGUUGUUGUUCUGGCAGCUGUUAACAUUUUCUCUUUGUCCUUGGUUGCCAUUAGUCUUCAAUGGUUUAAAUAUAAUAUGCAUAAUUUUGUUGUUUCUUGGAUUUGUGGUUUAAGGUCUAAUUUUGGAAAUUCUUCAGUAUUUUUUUCUUCUAUACUCUUUCCUGUUAAUCUACUUUUAAGAUUCUGAUUACACAUAGGUUGAACUCUGAUACUGUCACAGUGAAAAUAACUGCUAGAGGGAGGGAGAUUAUCUCUGACCAAAUGUUAACAACAACAAAAAAAUCUAUGCGUGAUUAGGAGUGAAUUACAAUACAAGCUUUUUGAUAUUACAGGUAACAGAGAAGUUAUCCUUGUCAUUUUGUAUCAUUGGGAAUGCAUUUGCUAAGAAUUUCUCACCAGAAAUAUAAUGGAAGUCCAGAGAUAGAGCUCCACACCAAUUCAGAACAUCAGAGCUGCUAUUUGGAACUCACAUUUCAGACUCCUUGAAUGUUAGCUUGAUUUCUAGGCUUAUUAUUUCAAAUCGUGGGCAUCUCCCAUUUAACUGAAGGGAUAGUUUUAUUUUCAUCAUUUUCUUUUUAAUUUAAAGGAUAGGGCCUUUUCCGUAAAUUAUCCCCUCAGCAAACUUUUUCUUUGUAACAUUAAUCAAUCAAGAUUGACUAAAGUAUCUAUCUGCUCACUUGGAGAGGGGGAAAGCUAAUGUCUGACAUUAAUAGCUUUUAUAGUAAAAAUCAGGCAGGAAAAUAUGUAGAUUAAAAGUUUGCACCCAAAAAACAAAUAAUCCAAUCAAGAAAUGGGCAGAAGACAUGAACAGACAUUUCUCCAACGAAGACCUCCAAAUGGCCAACAGACACAUGAAAAAAUGCUCAACAUCACUUGGCAUCAGGGAAAUACAAAUCAAAACCACAAUGAGAUACCACCUCACACCAGUCAGAAUGGCUAAAAUUAACAAGUCAGGAAACGACAGAUGUUGGCGAGGAUGAGGAGAAAGGGGAACCCUCCUACACUGUUGGUGGGAAUGUAAGUUGGUAUAGCCACUCUGGAAAACAGUAUGGAGGUUCUUCAAAAAGUUGAAAAUAGAGCUACCCUAUGACCCAGCAAUUGCACUACUGGGUAUUUACCCCAAAGAUACAAAUGCAGUGAUCCGAAGGGGUAUGUGCACCCCGAUGUUUAUAGCAGCAAUGUCCACAAUAGCCAAACCAUGGAAAGAGCCUAGAUGUCCAUCGACAGAUGAAUGGAUAAAGAAGAUGUAGUAUAUAUACACAAUGAAAUAUUAUACAGCCAUCAAAAAUAUGAAAUCUUGCCAUUUACAAUGACAUGGAUGAGACUGGAGGGUAUUAUGCUGAGCGAAAUAAGUCAAUCAGAGAAUGCUAUGUAUCAUAUGAUCUCACUGAUAUGAGGAUUUUGAGAAACAAGGCAGAGGAUCAUAGGGGAAGGGAGGGAAAAAUGAAACAAGAUGAAACCAGAGAGGGAGACAAACCAUAAGAGACUCUUAAUCUCAGGAAACAAACUGAGGGUUGCUGGAGUGGAGGCGGAUGGGAGAGAUAGGGUGGCUGGGUGAUGGACAUUGGGGAGGGUAUAUACUAUGGUGAGCACUGUGAAUUGUGUAAGACUGAUGAAUCACAGACCUGUACCCCUGAAACAAAUAAUACGUGAUAUGUUAAUAAAAAAGUUUAAAAAAUGGAGUAACAACAACAAAAAGUUUUCAAUUAUGUAAGUAUUGGUACUACUAAACACUUUUCCCCAAAAUCACUUGCAAUGGAAGAGAUGGAUAAAAUAUAUAGUACUUAACCUCUCAAGUCACAAUUUCAAGUUAAAAUUGCACAUCCAUGUAAUCCAAGACAUUUGUCCUUAUCACCUCAGUGACAUCAUCCUGGUUCAUGCCAUGGAGAUAUCUCAAUAACUGUGCUCUCAAGUUCAAACCAUAAUACCCAUACUCGAUUCUUGUCUUAUGGUAUUUUACCAGGUAUGUGGUAUAGGGACUAGGAUUAUAUUUUAUGUCUGUCCUUCCCUUGAUAAAAUGCAAGCUGAAUUAGGGUAGGGAUAUUUGGAAUUAUUUUUCAUUGUGUAUUCUAAUGAUAGGAAUAAUCACUGGAACCUAAUAGGUAAUCAUAAAUGUUAAAUAAAUUGAUGAAUGUUUUACAGAAAAACUGUAUUUUGAUAGGAUUUCUAAUCUUCAGUAUACAUUUUUGGAAAAGAUAUGUGAGGACAACUAUGAAAAAAUGCUACCUAAGGAUAAAAAGGAAAAUGAAUGAAAUGUCAGAUAAAUACCUUUUGGAAAUGAAACCUAAGAAACAGAUAUUUGCUUUCAUUUGUUGUAUAAUGGAAAAAUGUAAAAAGAAAAUAAAUUUUUAAAAAUGGAAUGAAAUAAAAAGGAUCUUGGCAAGCUAAGUACACUAAGAAUGAGAAAAAAAUCACUGCUGAACAAAUAACUAAUUUAGUAACUAAGAAACAGACACAGAUAGAAAAUAAUUUGGUAACACAGAACGAAAUAAUUAUAGUUAAUGCAAAGGAAAAAGAUGGGAUAAAAAUGAUCAAAACAAAACAAUAAUAGCAAUUUAAUAUGAGUUGCUAACCAUUUAAAGAACAAUAAAAAAUAAUUUUGCAAUAGCAAAUCUAACCACUUACAGAACAAUAAAAAAAUUAGCAAAAUUUCAGAAAACUGAAAUUUUAAUUCAAAGGGACAAAAGUGUUUCAGUAAAAUUGUCAUAAAAUAACUAACACUGACAAAACCAUUUGGCAUGUUUAGGUUUUAAAUAUAUAUAUAUGUUUAGGCAUUCUGUCAAAAAAAAAUCCCCUAACAACCAUAAAAGGAAGACUUCCUUUAGAUUUUGUCACAGAACCAUGCAAGUUCAAAGUAGAGAAAUAUCUCUAAAUUUCCAGUGAAAAUAAAUGGAGUGAUAACUGUGAAAUCGUGGGGUAAAAACACUCCAAAAAAUCAAUAAAAGCAGCCAAAAACUCAGAAUCAAAUUUCUCAGAACUCUGAAGACUUCAGCAAUGAGGUAACGUUUCAUCAAGAAAAAUGGCUGAAUCUCAGCAUCAACAACAUGCUUUGUGGUGUUUAAUCCACCACUCUACAGUUCAGCAGUAGACUUGAAAAGAUAAUAGGCCAUAUUACUGGUUUCAGAGGAAGCAAAACAGCACCAUAGCUGUUUCCAAACUUGAUUUCCAAAGAAUAGUAAUUACUUGACCUGCGUAGUGGUUCUCUGGAAAACUCUACUCAAAUAGCUUAUUUUAAUUUCACCUCACUUGAACUUGCUGAGUGCCUUUAAAAGCUUCUCCCCAAGAGGUAUUUGUCAAAUAUUUUAACAUCCUGAUUGCCUAAAGUGAUUUAUAAGAGUUGGGGCAGACAGCAGAUUAACCAAAAUCUUAAAAGGGAAAGGUGAAGAAUGAGAUGUCUAUAGGGGCUUUAAAAAUCUCUGAUAUAUUCCUGGGAAGCAUCAUUCAUUCAUAGCGUUGUUCUCAUGUACAGGAAAAAUACAUGAGAAGCUCUUCAGGUCUCACCUCUGAUAUUCCCUGAGGCUCUGCAUAGCUAAAUCUGGGUUUAAAGUUCCUGGUUGGGUGUGGUCACGCAGAGCCCCUCAGCAAAGAGUGGAAGACUUAUUUGUUCUAGGAAUUUAAAAAAAAAAUCCCUAUUUAGUUAUUAUCUGAUCACUAAGCAAACUAAGUAGAGACUUUAAUGGCCACACAUUAUAAAGAAACACUUUAAAAUUUGUUCAGAAAUGUCAUUAACCAAAUAAUAAAAGCAAACAACACUAGUAACAAACCCUGGGUAGGAGGAGUAUCUGAUUUCCAGAUUGUACCUUACGGUAUUUGAAAUGUACAUUUUUCAUCAAAACAUCAUGAUAUAUACAGCUAUUUUAAAUGUGUUCAAAGAGCUAAAGGAGACCAUGUCUAAAUAACUAAAGGAACAUAUGGGAAUAUUCUCUCAACAAAUACAGAAUAUCAAUAAGGAGAGAGAAAUUAUAACAAUGGAUCAAAUAGAUAUCCUGUAGUUGAAAACUAAAAUAACCGAAAUAAAAAAUUCAGUAGAAAAGAUCCACAGCAGAUCUGUGCAAGUAGAAGAAUCAGCAAACAUGACAAAAGAUAAAUUCAGACUGUGCAGUCUGAGGAACAGGCAAAGAAAAAUGAAAACAGUAAAUAGAGUCUCAGAUACCUAUGGGAUACCAUCAAAUGUAGCAAACACAAGUGUACCCAUUAAAAGGACUAACGGCAGAAAGAGAUAUAUAUUUUUUAAAGAUUUUAUUUAUUUAUUUGACAGAGUGAGCACAAGCGGGGGGGGCAGGCAGAGGGAGAGGGAGAAGCAGGCUCCCCACUGAGCAGGGAGCCAGAUGCGGGGCUCAAUCCCAGGACCCUGGUAUCAUGAGCCAAGCCGAAGGCAGAUGCUUAACCAACUGAACCACCCCAGAAAGAGAUAUUUCAACAGUAUUUGGACACUUCAAUACCCAACUUUCAAUAAUGUAUAAUACAAAUAGGUAGACAAUAUCAAGGAAAUAGGAGAUUUGAACAAGCCAACUAGAACUAAUAGACACUCUACCCAACAAGAGAACACACAUUCUUCUCAAAUGCUCAAAGAACAUUUUAUAGGAUAGACCAUAUGUUUGUUCAUAAAACAAGCCUCAAAAAAAUUUAAAGGAUGGAAAUCAUAUAAAGUGUGUUCUCCAAACACAUUAAAGGAAAUUAGAAAUCAAUAACAAGGAAAUUUAGGAAAUUCAAAAAUAUUUGUUAUUAACAAAUUAACCAAGGAGUCAAAUAAUAAACCACAGUGGAAUUACAAAAUACUUUGUAAUAUCAACAUUUAAUGCAUGCAAUAAAGUUAGUGCUUAGAUGGACAUUUAUAGCUGUAAAUGCCUCCAAUAAAAAAGAUCCCAAAUCAGUAACCUAAUCUCCAACUUUAAUAAAGUAGUAAAAGAACUGCAAACAAAGUCCAAAGCAAGCAAAAGAAGCAGUAAAUAUUAGAGAAAAAAAAAAAGAUAAAAUACAGAAAAAAAUAAAACAAAAAACUGAUUCUUUGAAAAGAUCCAUACAGUUGAUGACUCUAGCUACACCAACCAAGAAAAAAAGAGAAAAAAUUUAGUUGUUUAAAUCAGGGACUAAAAAUGGAUCGUAACUACAGACUUUACAGAAAUAUAAGUGGAUGUUAAGGAAAAGCUUUAAACAAAUAUAUGCCAAACAGUUAAACAACAGUGAGUACAUUUCUAGGAAGACACACAUUACCAAAUCUUAAGAUGAAAAAUAAAAUCUGAAUAGAUGUAUAACAAGUAAACAGAUUGAAUUAAUAAUAAUAAUAAUAAUAAUAAUAAUAAUAAUAAUAAUAAUAAACUUCACAUGAAGAAUCACUCAGGACCAGAUGACCUCACUGGUGAAGUCAACCAAACAUUUAGAAGAGUGACACUAAUACUUCCUAAACACUUAUUUUUUUUAAAAAGCAGACAUAUAGGAACACUUCUUAGAUAUUACUGAUUUGGGAUCUUUUUUAUUGGCAACAUUACAGCUAUAAAUGUCCAUCUGAGCAUCAAUUUUAUUGCAUAAGUAUUGAUAUUAUAUAUAUAUUAUAUUGAUAUAAGUAUUGAUAUAUAUAUAUAAGUAUUGAUAUAUAUAUAUAUUAUAUAUAUAUU
This is a long non-coding RNA of Mirounga angustirostris (Northern elephant seal), 8238 nucleotides long. RefSeq lists it as uncharacterized. Lineage: Eukaryota; Metazoa; Chordata; Mammalia; Carnivora; Phocidae. The record is from RefSeq and is a predicted model, not a curated record. The transcript is spliced from 4 exons.